UGAAUACGAGACGCUACGGCGUUGAAGCAGUCUAUGUCAUACUUCCAAGAAAAGCUCGCAAUGUCUUAAACAAAUAAUGCCUGUACCAUAACCGACACAGGUGGGUAGGUAGAGUAUACUAAGGGGCGCGAGAUAACUCUCCCUAAGGAACUCGGCAAAAUGACUCCGUAACUUCGGGAGAAGGAGUGCCUUAUUUAUAAGGUUGCAAUAACAAGAUCCAAGCAACUGUUUAUCAAAAACACAGGUCUCCGCUAAGUCGUAAGACGAUGUAUGGGGGCUGACGCCUGCCCAGUGCCAGAAGGUUAAAGAAGUUGGUUAGCAUUAGCGAAGCUGAUGACUGAAGCCCUGGUGAACGGCGGCCGUAACUAUAACGGUCCUAAGGUAGCGAUAUUCCUUGUCGGGUAAGUUCCGACCCGCACGAAAGGCGUAAUGAUUUGGAUACUGUCUCGGAGAGGGACUCGGUGAAAUAGACUUGUCUGUGAAGAUGCGGACUACCUGCACCUGGACAGAAAGACCCUAUGAAGCUUUACUGUAACUUGAAAUUGAAAUUGGACUUUAUUCGCGCAGUAUAGGUGGGAGGCUUUGAGAAUAUUCUUGCGGGAAUAUUUGAGCCAUCAGUGAGAUACCACCCUUGUAAUGUUAGAUUUCUAACUUUGUAUCAUGAUCUGGUCAAAGAACAGUUUCAGGCGGGCAGUUUGACUGGGGCGGUCGCCUCCCAAAUGGUAACGGAGGCGUACAAAGGUUUCCUCUGGACGGGUAGAGAUCGUAUCUAGAGUGUAAAGGCAUAAGGAAGCUUGACUGUGAGACCUACAAGUCGAGCAGGGACGAAAGUCGGCCUUAGUGAUCUGACGGUGCUGAGUGGAAAGGCCGUCACUCAACGGAUAAAAGUUACUCUAAGGAUAACAGGCUGAUCUCCCCCAAGAGUUCACAUCGACGGGGAGGUUUGGCACCUCGAUGUCGGCUCAUCGCAUCCUGGGGCGGUAGUACGUCCCAAGGGUUGGGCUGUUCGCCCAUGAAAGCGGUACGCGAGCUGGGUUCAGAACGUCGUGAGACAGUUCGGUCCAUAUCCGGUGUAGGCGUUAGAAUAUUGAGAGGAGCCUUCUUUAGUACGAGAGGACCGAGAAGGACAUACCUCUGGUGUACCAGUUAUCGUGCCAACGGUAAACGCUGGGUAGCUAUGUAUGGAGAGGAUAACCGCUGAAAGCAUCUAAGUGGGAAGCCCACCUCAAGAUAAG
RNAcentral lists this ribosomal RNA (1235 nucleotides) under metagenome. Its description in RNAcentral is "bacterial LSU rRNA". It matches the Rfam family "Bacterial large subunit ribosomal RNA", at positions 1564 to 2808 of the family's 2925-position model. The record is from RNAcentral.